GGCACCUGCAUCCGGACUAUGGAAAAGCUGUGGUGACCCCAAGCUGCCAUGGUGGGGACCUAAAUCACAAUGUCAUCAUAAGAAGAUAGAGAGAGACACAAGGAAUGCACAAAGAAAAGGCACGUGAAGACACAGGGAGAAGGCAGCCAUAUGCAAGCCAGUGAGAGAAGCCUGCCAGCACGGUGCAUUGCUCCUGAAGGCCCAGCCUCCAGAAUUGUGAGAAAACAAAUCUCUGUUUCUGAAGACCAGCAAGGAAAUCAACUCACCCUUAAAGACUAGGUACAACAAUGGGGAAAGAAGGACAUAUACUACAGAAGAAGAAAGAGAAGAGAUCAAGGAAGAAAAGGAGUGGAGAAGUGGAGAAGAGAAAAUAGAAGAGGAGGAGAAAAUGAAAGAGUGGUAACAAUAACACGGUUAAAAUAACUUCUCAUCGUUAAUCAGAAAUUCACUGAUCUUGUUAUGUAUAAAAAUAACUUAUAAUUAUCUAUUUUGUUUUUAAUCUCUUAUAAAUAAAAUAUUAUAAAUAUUCCUUCCUCUCUGUGGCUACUGAAUUGCAAUCUCUUAUCAGUAACUUUCAUUCACUAAAACUUAUUUAAAACCAUAUGUCAAAGGGAAUAAGUUGACAAAACCAUGGCCCUGUGAGAAAGGGUAGAUUGAGUAUGGUGUAGAUGACAUCACGAGUGACAAGUGGAGUCAAUGCUAUAUCCUUUGUUCCAAAGAUUUUUGUUUUGUUUUAAUUAAAUGAUAUGAUUUAUUAUUUGUAAAUACCAUAUAACUAUAUGUAUAUGCCUAAUUAUCCUAACUUUAGAGAAACUAGGAAAUAAUUACAGCUGAUUUUUUUGUGUGAAAUUAUAUAAAAAAGAAAACAAUGGGGUAAAGUGUUCAAAGAAAAUAACCAGCAACCUAGAAUUUUAUAGCCAGUGAUAUUAUCCUUCAAAAAUGAGGAGAAAAAAUACCUCUUCAGAACAGAGAAAAUAUAUUAUCAGCAGACAUUUCUUUUAAAAAUGUUUUAAAAUCUUCUUCAGAAAGGAGAAAAAUAACAUAGGUCAGAAACUUAGAUCUAUGAAGGGGUGGCCUGCCCCUCCACACCUGUGGGUAUUUCUAGUCGGCUGGGACGAGAGACUGAGAAAAGAAAUAAGACACAGAGACAAAGUACAGAGAAACAAUAGUGGGCCCAGGGGACCGGCACUCAGUACACCAAGGACCUGCACUGGCACCAGCCUCUGAGUUCCCUCAAUUUUUAUUGAUUAUUGUUUUUCAUUAUUUCAGCAAAAAGGAAUGUAGCAGGAGAGCAGGGUGAUAAUAAGGAGAAGGUCAACAAAUUACACGUGAGCAAAAGAAUCUAUAUCAUAAUUAAGUUCAAGGGAAAGUACUAUGCCUGGACGUGCACGUAGGCCACAUUUAUGUUUCUCUCCACCCAAACAUCUCAGUGGAGUAAAGAAUAACAAGGCAGUAUUACUGUAAACAUGUCUCACCUCCCGCCACAGGGCAGCUUUUCUCCUAUCUCAGAGUUGAACAAAUGUACAAUCAGGUUUUACACCGAGACAUUCAGUUCCCAGGGGCAAGCAGGAGAUAGUGGCCUUCCUCCAUCUCACCUGCAAGAGGCUUUCCUUUUUUACUAAUCCUCCUCAGCACAGACCCUUUAUGGGUGUCGAGCUGGGGGACAGUCAGGUCUUUCUCAUCCCACGAGGCCAUAUUUCAGACUAUCACAUGGGGAGAAAUCUCGGACAAUACCCCGCUUUCAAGGGCAGAGGUCCCUGCGGCUUUCCACAGUGUAUUGUGCCCCUGGUUUAUUGAGACUAGAGAAUAGCCAUGACCUUUACCAAGUAUACUGCUUGUAAACAUUUUGUUAACAAGGCACGUCCUGCACAGCCCUAGAUCCCUUAAACCUUGACUUCACACAGCACAUGUUUUUGUGAGCUCCAGGUUGUGUCAAAGUGGCUGGGGCAAAGUGGCUGGGGCAAAGCUACAAAUUAACAACAUCUCAGCAAAGCAACUGUUUAAAGUACAGGUCUUUUUCAAAAUGGAGUCUCUUAUGUCUUUCCUUUCUACAGAGACACAGUGACAGUCUGAUCUCUCUUUCUUUUCCC
Molecule: long non-coding RNA, 2090 nt
Organism: Gorilla gorilla gorilla (western lowland gorilla)
Lineage: Eukaryota; Metazoa; Chordata; Mammalia; Primates; Hominidae
Exons: 3
Source: RefSeq, a predicted model, not a curated record